GAGUUUGAUCUUGGCUCAGAUUGAACGCUGGCGGCAUGCCUUACACAUGCAAGUCGAACGGCAGCAUGAUCUAGCUUGCUAGAUUGAUGGCGAGUGGCGAACGGGUGAGUAAUACAUCGGAACGUGCCCUGUAGUGGGGGAUAACUAGUCGAAAGAUUAGCUAAUACCGCAUACGACCUGAGGGUGAAAGUGGGGGACCGGCAAGGCCUCAUGCUAUAGGAGCGGCCGAUGUCUGAUUAGCUAGUUGGUGGGGUAAAGGCCCACCAAGGCGACGAUCAGUAGCUGGUCUGAGAGGACGAUCAGCCACACUGGGACUGAGACACGGCCCAGACUCCUACGGGAGGCAGCAGUGGGGAAUUUUGGACAAUGGGCGAAAGCCUGAUCCAGCAAUGCCGCGUGUGUG
RNAcentral lists this ribosomal RNA (403 nucleotides) under uncultured microorganism. RNAcentral's name for it is "bacterial SSU rRNA". It matches the Rfam family "Bacterial small subunit ribosomal RNA", at positions 9 to 407 of the family's 1533-position model. The record is from RNAcentral.